AAGAGAUUCAGAAAGGCUAAAUGACUCUCCAAAGGUGAAACCAUUUCCUCUCUGCACUUGCAGACUUGAUCCCAUUCACAUAUCCUGAGAUGAGAUCUUGCUUAGUAAUGGAAUAUGUUUAUGGAAGGCCCCUGAAUGAAGAAGCCUUUACCUAAUAAUGAUGUUCACUGCCCAAAUUGCUUAUGCUUUCACCUGGCUUACCUAUGUACUUUAAUGACCUUUCCCCUAAUUGCACCCACCUGAGUCUUCUACCAUGGAUUGGGUUGGUAGUUUCCACCAGGAAAAGGCUUGGCAGCUGAGUUGAUAAGUAAUCCUCUGAGUGUGUUGGGUUGAAGUGUGGAACAUGAGCUUCGGAAAAACAGCAAGUCUUCUCUGCCCCUCCCUGACCUUCCCUCACCACCACUAUGUCUUACAAGCCAAGUGGCUUGCAGGUUGGAAGGGGUGAUGCACGGCGCAGAGCCCCAGAGAGAGGCUUUCCCAAUGACAGUCAUGCAAGAGGUUCAUCCAUCCAUCACCACAGUCAAGCUUCAGAACAGUUCUAUCACCACAAGGUGAUGGAGCUUCCUCCAGUACAUACUCUCUGCCAAGGCCAAGCCCAAAUCACAGCCCAUACUCAGACAAAGCAAAAGACUCCAGAGAAAAAAGUGGUGUCAGUCUCAGCGCAAUGAAGAACAGCUCUUCCUUCUACAGAAUUUUGGUUCAUCUAAUCAUCUUUGUUUCCACAGCUCUCUGAUGUCUUCAAAAAAGUAUGAUUUGGUAGUUUAUCAAGGUAUUUCUAGUUAUUACAAAGAGUGAUGCUCUUCUACUACUUAUGAUAUACUGCCCUGAGUUGGAUAUUCUACUUUAUACUACUACUUUUCUUUUUCCCCAUCAAAUUGCCUUGGAAAAAAUCGAAUAAUCACAUAAAUGUAAGUCCAUUUAUGGUCUCCAUUUUUCUGUUCCAUUGAUACAUGCCUGUACUUCUUCCAUUACUACAUGUUGAAAAUAUUGUAGGCUAUUGUAUGUCUUUAAAUAAGGCAAUAAAUCCUCCAAAUGUGUUUUUCUUCUUUAAGAUUGUAUUGCUUAUUCCAGAUUUUUUCCAUAUGAAUGAUAGAAUAAGUUUGUCAAUAUCUAGCAGAAAAACCUGUAGAGAUUUUGACUGUGAUUAUAUUUCACUUAUAUAUCAGUUUGAGAAGAAACAACUUCUUAACAAUAUAAUGUCUUCCAAUUCAUUAGCAUGCCUUAUUUCUCCGUUACUUAGAUUACCUUUAAUUUCUUCCAGUAAAGUUUUUUACUUUCUGUGUAGAGGUCUUUCAAGUCUCUUGUUAAAUGUAUUCCUAAGUAUUUUAUGUUUCUUUUAAUGCUAUUAUAAAAUAAAUUGUUUUAAAUAUCAUUUUCCAAUGGUUUGCUAUGAAAAUAUAAAAACUAAAUUGAUUUUUGUGUUGACCUUGUAUGUUGUGACUUUGUAGAAUUCAUUUAUUGGUUUUAAAGUGGCUUUAUUUUCAUAAUAUUCUACACAAUCUUAUCAUCUGUGUAAAAAAAGAAUUUUGCUUCUCCUUUUCCAAACUUAGUGCCUUUUAUUUCAUCAUCUUGCUUUAUUGUAUUAAGAUCUACAAUACUAUGUUUAAUAAAUGAGUGAGAGCAGACAACCUUGCCUUCUUAAAAUCCUAAGGAGAAAGCAUACAUUUUUCACCAUUAAGUAUAAUAAAUCUGCAGAGUUUUCAUGAAUAUCCAUUUGUUGCUUGCUAGACAUUUUUUGGCCAUAAAUAG
Equus caballus (horse) is the source of this 1749-nucleotide long non-coding RNA. The record is from Ensembl. Lineage: Eukaryota; Metazoa; Chordata; Mammalia; Perissodactyla; Equidae.